UACAGAGGUCCCGAGCGUUGUUCGGAUUCACUGGGCGUAAAGGGUGCGUAGGUGGCCGGGUAAGUCUGACGUGAAAUCUCCAAGCUUAACUUGGAAACUGCGUCGGAUACUAUCCGGCUCGAGGAUCGGAGGGGAGACUGGAAUACUUGGUGUAGCAGUGAAAUGCGUAGAUAUCAAGUGGAACACCAGUGGCGAAGGCGAGUCUCUGGACGAUUCCUGACACUGAGGCACGAAAGCCAGGGGAGCAAACGGG
Molecule: ribosomal RNA, 253 nt
Filed under: uncultured bacterium
Lineage: Bacteria
Description: partial 16S ribosomal RNA
Rfam family: Bacterial small subunit ribosomal RNA
Source: RNAcentral